RNAcentral lists this ribosomal RNA (270 nucleotides) under uncultured bacterium. Its description in RNAcentral is "partial 16S ribosomal RNA". It matches the Rfam family "Bacterial small subunit ribosomal RNA", at positions 73 to 339 of the family's 1533-position model. The record is from RNAcentral.
AUUCGUCCAAUUGAAGCAGAGGACAGUGGCGGACGGGUGAGUAACGCGUGAGGAACCUGCCUUUCAGAGGGGGAUAACAUUUGGAAACAGAUGCUAAUACCGCAUAAGAUUACAGUACCGCAUGAUACAGUGAUCAAAGGAGCAAUCCGCUGAAAGAUGGGCUCGCGUCCGAUUAGAUAGUUGGUGAGGUAACGGCUCACCAAGUCGACGAUCGGUAGCCGGACUGAGAGGUUAACCCCCACAUUGGUACUGAGACACGGACCAAACUCC